CAGAUUUGUUAGCGGGCCGGGUCCAUUGGGGCGACGGUUUUAGCUCUAAAUUGAAAAUACCGCGCCGCACAUUUCGAAACGCUCGAAUUCAAAGUUGAAAACGCGGCUGAGACCCGCUUUUACCCGCCUCUGCUUCCACCGGUGGAUCUACAUUUUCAUUCACUCGCUCUCACACUCUCCUUCCACCGCCACCAUUCUCUUCUCACCACACCAAACACCGUGCUCAUCUUCCUCUAACCACCCUCAAACCCACACCAAAUUUUCAAUCCCCUCCAUUUUCCCAGGGUUUCUUCCUGUGGUUGCAUUAGGGUUUCGUUUCAAUUUCAAUUUUCAUCACUUCACCGAUUCAUGAGCAGCGAGGAUAAUUUCAGUGACGGGGUUGUGAAACCACAACCCCGUCCCGUUCUGUCAGACGUCACCAAUCUCCGGGCGAAGAGGCCAUUUUCUUCGAUUUCCGCCGACGACGGGGACUCGCGGUUCACCAAGAAGAAAGUCCAGUCAAAGCUCGGCGUCCAGGCGCAGCAAGGCCGCAGCAACAAGGACAAAGUGGUGGUGUCACAACAAAAGGGGCAAAACCCUUGUUUGGAGUUGCCAUUUUGCGGCGAUGAUUCUCUGGGAAACGUCUCGUCUCAGGAAUCGAACUUGCAGUUGCCGAGUGGUGGUCUAGAGGAGAAGAAUCUGUUGGGGGGAGCUGUUGUUUCUGGGCCAACUGAAGUUCCUGUUGCUGUGUUGGGAGAGAUUGGUCAGGGAAGACCCUUGAAUGAAGGGUUCAUUGAUCGAGGAAUUGAAAGUGGUCAGAGGGACGUUCGUGCUGUUGACAAUUUGGGGUCACCCAAAUGCGGAGGUAGGGCGGUGGAACUUCCGACGAUGUCUGAUUCCUGUGAUUCGAGAUUUCCGGGACUGGAGCGGUGUUCGGUUCUCCAGGGCAAUGCCGGUCCAACUUCGGCUGCUGCUGCUGCUGACCUUCUGAAAAGCUGUACUUGUUCCUUUUGCUCCAAAGCUGCUCAUAUCUGGUCGGAUCUUCAUUACCAAGAUGUCAAGGGUAGAUUAAGUGCUUUGAAGAAGAGUCAGAAAGAUGCAAGCAACGCGGUCCAGAAACUUUCUGAAAUUAAGGAUUCUGUAAUGCCUGACCAACAAAGUAGCUCCGAGUCAUCCAAGUUGGAAUUGGCCCUUAUGCAUCAGUGGAAAUCUCUCUUUGAUUUUAUGGAAAAUACAUUUGCUGAAGAAAGUAGACAGCUUGAAUCAAGCUUUGAAACUCUAAAAGAUUUGAGAGACAACUGCAAGAAUGAUCUGGACUCAACUGACAACACUCAUUUUGACAAUCAUUAGUUCAAAUGCCUUUUAUGAUUCUACUUGGUUCACUCCCAAGAUUGGUUUCGAUGAAUUGAAGCAACAACAAUUCUAGCACUUCCUUAAAUGAUUCAAUAGCUUCAACAGGAACUUCGUUGAGUUAAAUUACUUCAUUGGACGUGUAUGCGUCGUUCCAACUUGAUAGAGAAUGAUCACCGGUUACAGUUGAGGAAUAGGAACAUGGUUGGCUAUAAUUGGUGAGUACUACAAUUUUAUAAGUGACUUACUAAAUUCAGGUGUGCUGCACUUUUUAACUAGCUCAACUACUCAAAUUUAGAUGGAUCAGGAUCCUCUUAUGUUGAGAUUUUAUGUCUAUCUCUCUCUUUACAAGUAUUAAUUAGGUGGAAUCUUUCGAAGAGAGAGAGAGACACAAUGUCUCAUUUGAGAUUAUCAUGUGACAUGAGAGAAUCCUAAUCCAAUUUGGAGUGUGUUGAUUGUAAUUUUUUUAAACGAAAGUCUGUGAUACUCUGAUAGGUACUUGACUACUUGCAUCCCUUUAGGUUAGUUUCUAUUCCUUAGGCUAGUUUGUUAUUAGUUAGAGAGCCAUCUGUCAAUUUGUUACAACUGGAUUAGUUUGUAGCAGUUUAGUGACUUUCCUAUAAGUAGGGAGAAUUGUAAAAGAAGGGUCAUUCUGGAAAAUAGAAUCAGUUGAGUGGGAGAAUCCCAGCCUCUCGAAUGUUAGGGAGUUUGUAGAGUUUGUAGAGUUUGUAAUCAGUACAGUGUUCAUCAAUAAUGGGAGUAAAUUCACUGUUUCAUACAUCUUUACCUUCUCUCUGAUCCUGAUUCUACCAUUCUCUGUAGGUGUCUGUUAAUUGAUAAAUUAGGUCUGAAGAUACAAUUAUUUGUUAACUAAUAAUCAGUCUAGUUAAGUUCAUGUCCUAAAUACUUGUUGUUCAUUUCAGAGAACCUUAUAUAAAUAUAUGGUUUAUUAUAGUUAGAAAUCACGAGCAAUCUGGUUGUAUAAAUAAAUGAACUCAGUCCCCUUGGUUGAAAAUGUGGCCAUAAGCUAUAAGGCCCCUGAAGAAAGUUGUCACGAUUACUCUUUUUUUCUUGGCAUAAUUUCAUUUUUUUCUGUUGAUUCGGACCCGGUUCAAAAACAAGGAUUUUUGUUAACUUGAUACCACACAAAAAUACCAGCUCAAAGACGCUUCUCCAUUUGUGCUUUCAGGCCUUUAGCAUUGGUUUUCAGGUAGUACUCUUCAACUUUCGUCUGGAAAAAGAAACUUGCUGCCAUAUGAAGAAACAUUGUUUAGGGAUUGGCCUGUGGUGAUAUAGGAAUUAAUUAUGAUAAAUAUAGAUUAGAUCAGAGCAAGCAUAGAAGAAACAUUUUAUCUGUUACUUGCUUAAUUGUAUUGUUUUUAUGUCCUUUGAAUUGCCCUUAGAUGUAAGUGUUAGGCUGCUGUGGGGUCUUUUCAAUGCAAGUUCCUUUGAUGAAAGAAGAUCAUUUGUG
Lotus japonicus is the source of this 2800-nucleotide RNA transcript. RefSeq lists it as uncharacterized. The record is from RefSeq and is a predicted model, not a curated record. The transcript is spliced from 6 exons. NCBI's taxonomy places the organism in Eukaryota, Viridiplantae, Streptophyta, Magnoliopsida, Fabales, Fabaceae.